GAUGAACGCUGGCGGCGUGCCUAAUACAUGCAAGUCGAGCGAACGGACGAGAAGCUUGCUUCUCUGAUGUUAGCGGCGGAAGGGUGAGUAACACGUGGAUAACCUACCUAUAAGACUGGGAUCACUUCGGGAAACCGGAGCUAAUACCGGAUAAUAUUUUGAACCGCAUGGUUCAAAAGUGAAAGACGGUCUUGCUGUCACUUAUAGAUGGAUCCGCGCUGCAUUAGCUAGUUGGUAAGGUAACGGCUUACCAAGGCAACGAUGCAUAGCCGACCUGAGAGGGUGAUCGGCCACACUGGAACUGAGACACGGUCCAGACUCCUACGGGAGGCAGCAGUAGGGAAUCUUCCGCAAUGGGCGAAAGCCUGACGGAGCAACGCCGCGUGAGUGAUGAAGGUCUUCGGAUCGUAAAACUCUGUUAUUAGGGAAGAACAUAUGUGUAAGUAACUGUGCACAUCUUGACGGUACCUAAUCAGAAAGCCACGGCUAACUACGUG
This 497-nucleotide ribosomal RNA is filed under the name uncultured bacterium. RNAcentral describes it as "partial 16S ribosomal RNA". It matches the Rfam family "Bacterial small subunit ribosomal RNA", at positions 28 to 507 of the family's 1533-position model. The record is from RNAcentral.